GCCGUUGUAGCUCAAUGGACAGAGCAACCCCGUCCUAAGGGGUAGGUUGGGGGUUCGAUUCCUCUCAACGGCG
This is a non-coding RNA of Candidatus Daviesbacteria bacterium, 73 nucleotides long. Lineage: Bacteria; Candidatus Daviesiibacteriota. The record is from Rfam.